CUGAAAGAAGAAACUCUGCCAAGUCCACAUGGCAGACAAGGUUUUCCCAGCUUUCCAGCUGAGCAUUUUAGACUCCUGGCACUGCUGCUGUACUCUGGUGCAUUACUCAGCUUUUGUGCUGCCAGACUGAAAUGUCAAUGCAAGUAACUGUCAGCCUCCCAGGAGGUGAAAUGGAGAGCACCAUUCCCCCCUCCCUAGAGUCCAGAACACUCCUAAUGACUGCAACACCUCUGUCUGGCUCAGGACACACGAGACACGGAAGAAAGUGGAGUUGAAGCAGAAGACUGGUAAAGCAGUAUUACAGUAUCCCUGACUAAAAAGCACUCUUUUCCC
This is a long non-coding RNA of Gallus gallus (chicken), 333 nucleotides long. The record is from Ensembl. NCBI's taxonomy places the organism in Eukaryota, Metazoa, Chordata, Aves, Galliformes, Phasianidae.